UACGUAGGUGGCGAGCGUUGUCCGGAUUUACUGGGCGUAAAGAGCGCGCAGGCGGUCGUGCAAGUCGCGUGUGAAAGCCCCCGGCUCAACUGGGGAGGGUCACGCGAUACUGCUCGACUCGAAGGCAGGAGAGGGAAGUGGAAUUCCCGGUGUAGUGGUGAAAUGCGUAGAUAUCGGGAGGAACACCAGUGGCGAAGGCGACUUCCUGGUCUGUUCUUGACGCUGAGGCGCGAAAGCUAGGGUAGCAAACGGG
RNAcentral lists this ribosomal RNA (253 nucleotides) under uncultured bacterium. RNAcentral describes it as "partial 16S ribosomal RNA". It matches the Rfam family "Bacterial small subunit ribosomal RNA", at positions 524 to 776 of the family's 1533-position model. The record is from RNAcentral.